AACGCGAAGAACCUUACCUGGGUUUGACAUCCCCGGCUAUCCGUGGAGACACGGAGUCCGUAGCAAUACGGCCGGGAGACAGGUGCUGCAUGGCUGUCGUCAGCUCGUGUGGUGACAUGUUGGGUUAAGUCCCGCAACGAGCGCAACCCUUGUCUCUAGUUGCCAGCAUUAAGUUGGGCUCUCUAGAGAGACUGCCGUGGUUAACACGGAGGAAGGUGGGGAUGACGUCAAGUCCUCAUGGCCUUUAUAUCCAGGGCGACACACGUGAUACAAUGGUCGGUACAGAGGGAUGCGAACCCGCGAGGGGGAGCUAAAUCUCAAAAAAGCCGAAUCUCAGUUCGGAUUGGAGUCUGCAACUCGACUCCAUGAAGUUGGAAUCGCUAGUAAUCGCGGAUCAGCACGCCGCGGUGAAUACGUUCCCGGGCCUUGUACACACCGCUCGCGA
RNAcentral lists this ribosomal RNA (445 nucleotides) under uncultured bacterium. RNAcentral describes it as "bacterial SSU rRNA". It matches the Rfam family "Bacterial small subunit ribosomal RNA", at positions 958 to 1399 of the family's 1533-position model. The record is from RNAcentral.